UCAUAACCUUUCAGAGUUAAUACUUCUUGUGCAUUCAUCGUUAAUCUCUCUAGGGUCUUAGUUAUGGCACUUUUUUUGUAAUACUCAGCCAAAAGUACUGGGUAAAAGUCAGGAAAAAAGGUGUAUGGGCCAGACAUAACAAUUAGGCGGGUAAAAAAGGACUGGCGCACGUUAAGGCGCUGUUCACUGGCGCACGUUAGCACGACGC
RNAcentral lists this long non-coding RNA (208 nucleotides) under Nicotiana benthamiana. RNAcentral describes it as "long non-coding RNA (NBEN_LNC004106)". Lineage: Eukaryota; Viridiplantae; Streptophyta; Magnoliopsida; Solanales; Solanaceae. The record is from RNAcentral.